This 71-nucleotide transfer RNA is filed under the name Fukomys damarensis (Damara mole-rat). It matches the Rfam family "tRNA". Rfam says of the family: Transfer RNA (tRNA) molecules are approximately 80 nucleotides in length. Lineage: Eukaryota; Metazoa; Chordata; Mammalia; Rodentia; Bathyergidae. The record is from Rfam by way of RNAcentral.
UGAGGAACAGCUCAUGGGUAGAGCACUUGCCCAGCACGCAAGAGUCCUGGGUUCAAUUCUCAGCACCACAU